UUCUGUAGGUGAACCUGCGGAAGGAUCAUUGUCGAAACCU
This 40-nucleotide ribosomal RNA is filed under the name Emblica aff. columnaris Tagane et al. T570. RNAcentral's name for it is "Phyllanthus aff. columnaris Tagane et al. T570 partial 18S ribosomal RNA". Lineage: Eukaryota; Viridiplantae; Streptophyta; Magnoliopsida; Malpighiales; Phyllanthaceae. The record is from RNAcentral.